UACGUAGGGUGCAAGCGUUAAUCGGAAUUACUGGGCGUAAAGGGUACGCAGGCGGUUUUAUAAGUCAGCGGUGAAAUCCCCGGGCUCAACCUGGGAAUGGCCGUUGAGACUGUAAGGCUAGAGUGUGUCAGAGGGGGGUAGAAUUCCGACGUGUAGCAGUGAAAUGCGUAGAGAUGUGGAGGAAUACCGAUGGCGAAGGCAGCCCCCUGGGAUAACACUGACGCUACAUGGUACGAAAGCGUGGG
RNAcentral lists this ribosomal RNA (245 nucleotides) under uncultured bacterium. Its description in RNAcentral is "partial 16S ribosomal RNA". It matches the Rfam family "Bacterial small subunit ribosomal RNA", at positions 524 to 765 of the family's 1533-position model. The record is from RNAcentral.